CCUACUGGAGUCAGCAGUGGGGAAUAUUGGACCAUGGAGGCAACUCUGACCCAGCAAUGCCGCGUGAAUGAAGCAGGUCUUCGGAUUGUAAAGUUCUUUAAUCAGGGACGACGAAGAUGACGGUACCUGAGGAAUAAGCCACGGCAAACUAUGUGCCAGCAGCCGCGGUAAUACAUAGGUGGCACGCGUUGUCCGUAAUGACUUGGCGUAAAGUGAGCGUAGGCGGUCUGUUAAGUAGGAUGUUAAAUCCCGGGGCUCAACCCCUGAACUGCUUUCAAGACUGACGGACUUGAGUGUAAGAGGGGUAAGCGGAAUUCCUAGUGUAGCGGUGGAAUGCGUAGAUAUUAGGAGGAACACCAGUGGCGAAGGCGGCUUACUGGAUUAUAACUGACGCUGAGGCUCGAAAGCGUGGGUAGCAAACAGGAUUAGAUACCCCUGUAGUC
This 443-nucleotide ribosomal RNA is filed under the name uncultured bacterium. RNAcentral's name for it is "partial 16S ribosomal RNA". It matches the Rfam family "Bacterial small subunit ribosomal RNA", at positions 338 to 795 of the family's 1533-position model. The record is from RNAcentral.